CAGUCGCCGCGGUAAUACGAAGGGGGCUAGCGUUGUUCGGAUUUACUGGGCGUAAAGGGCGCGUAGGCGGACUGAUAAGUCAGGGGUGAAAUCCCAAGGCUCAACCUUGGAACUGCCUUUGAUACUGUUUGUCUUGAGUUCGAGAGAGGUAAGUGGAACUGCGAGUGUAGAGGUGAAAUUCGUAGAUAUUCGCAAGAACACCAGUGGCGAAGGCGGCUUACUGGCUCGAUACUGACGCUGAGGCGCGAAAGCGUGGGGAGCAAACAGGAUUAGAUACCCGAGUAGUCCCUGUCUCUUAUAC
Molecule: ribosomal RNA, 301 nt
Filed under: uncultured bacterium
Lineage: Bacteria
Description: partial 16S ribosomal RNA
Rfam family: Bacterial small subunit ribosomal RNA
Source: RNAcentral